CUCAAUACGCCAAACCGUUGCGGAGUUAUAGCCUCACAAGCAUUUUUGCGUGCUUUUCGUAGAAUUUGUUCGCGUGGUAUUCGAGAACGGUUGGACGAAUCAACUUGAAUUCCAUAACUUUUUGCCAGCAUGGUCUGAAGAUGAUCUGAGCCAAUUUUCAUGAAAAUCAGACUAACCGUCUAGGACGAGUUCGAAAAAGUAGGUUUUUCGAACAAUUGAAAAUAUCGAAAAAAACUAAACCUUGCGAUUUUU
Cyprinus carpio carpio is the source of this 252-nucleotide long non-coding RNA. NCBI's taxonomy places the organism in Eukaryota, Metazoa, Chordata, Actinopteri, Cypriniformes, Cyprinidae. The record is from Ensembl.